UACGUAGGGCGCAAGCGUUGUUCGGAAUUACUGGGCGUAAAGGGCUCGUAGGUUGCCAACUAAGUCAGACGUGAAAUCCCUCGGCUUAACCGGGGAACUGCGUCUGAUACUGGAUGGCUUGAGUUUGGGAGAGGGACGCGGAAUUCCAGGUGUAGCGGUGAAAUGCGUAGAUAUCUGGAGGAACACCGGUGGCGAAGGCGGCGUCCUGGACCAACACUGACACUGAGGAGCGAAAGCCAGGGGAGCAAACGGG
RNAcentral lists this ribosomal RNA (253 nucleotides) under uncultured bacterium. Its description in RNAcentral is "partial 16S ribosomal RNA". It matches the Rfam family "Bacterial small subunit ribosomal RNA", at positions 524 to 776 of the family's 1533-position model. The record is from RNAcentral.